This 663-nucleotide ribosomal RNA is filed under the name uncultured fungus. Its description in RNAcentral is "eukaryotic LSU rRNA". It matches the Rfam family "Eukaryotic large subunit ribosomal RNA", at positions 24 to 664 of the family's 3401-position model. The record is from RNAcentral. Lineage: Eukaryota; Fungi.
CCCGCUGAACUUAAGCAUAUCAAUAAGCGGAGGAAAGGAAACUAACAAGGAUUCCCCUAGUAACUGCGAGUGAAGCGGGAAAAGCUCAAAUUUAAAAUCUGUCAGUCUUUGGCUGUCCGAGUUGUAAUCUAGAGAAGUGUUAUCCGCGCUGGACCGUGUACAAGUCUCCUGGAAUGGAGCGUCAUAGAGGGUGAGAAUCCCGUCUUUGACACGGACUGCCAGGGCUUUUGUGAUGCGCUCUCAAAGAGUCGAGUUGUUUGGGAAUGCAGCUCAAAAUGGGUGGUAAAUUCCAUCUAAAGCUAAAUAUUGGCGAGAGACCGAUAGCGAACAAGUACCGUGAGGGAAAGAUGAAAAGAACUUUGGAAAGAGAGUUAAACAGUACGUGAAAUUGCUGAAAGGGAAACGCUUGAAGUCAAUCGCGUCAUCCAGGGAUCAACCUUGCUUUUGCUUGGUGUAUUUUCUGGUUGACGGGUCAGCAUCAAUUUUGACCAUUGGAAAAAGAUUAAGGGAAUGUGGCAUACAUAGUGAUGUGUUAUAGCCCUUGGUUGCAUACAAUGGUUGGGAUUGAGGAACUCAGCACGCCGCAAGGCCGGGUUUUUAUUAAUCACGUACGUGCUUAGGAUGUUGGCAUAAUGGCUUUAAUCGACCCGUCUUGAAACACGG